This is a long non-coding RNA of Felis catus (domestic cat), 1253 nucleotides long. RefSeq lists it as uncharacterized. NCBI's taxonomy places the organism in Eukaryota, Metazoa, Chordata, Mammalia, Carnivora, Felidae. The transcript is spliced from 3 exons. The record is from RefSeq and is a predicted model, not a curated record.
UCAAGAGUUGGAUGCUUAGCCAUCUGAGCCACUCAGGUGCCCCAAAGUUUGUUUUUAAAUGAAUAUUAACUCUCUUUUUGUGGAUAAAAAUUAGGACUUCCAAUCUACAUCUUGACAAUGAAUCAGGAAUAAAAUUGAGAAGAAAGAUCUGUUUUCCCCUGUAUUUAACCUUAAAGAUGAGUUACUUAUUAUUUUUUGACUAUUUUAUUACUUCUGUAAAAUAAUUACACAUUAUAAAAAACUCAAAUAAUACAGAGAAAGAAAUAAGCAUCUGAAACUCAACAGUUCAGAGACAAUUACAGAUGACAUUAUUUGAGAUAUUACAUAUGCAUACAACACGUGGAAAUAUGUAUGCAUUUUACAUAAAUGGGUUCAUACCAUUCAUUUUACUCUGAAAGUUGCUUCCUUCCUCUAACCCCCAUCUGCUGCAUGUAGUGGAUGUUUUUCCAUUUAAAGAGGAAAAGGAUCUACACUGAUUUUAAUAGCGGUACACAUGAUCAUUUUCCUGUAUCAUGAUGUGCUUAACAAGGCAUCUAUUCAUGGCGAUGUACAUUUCUAAUUUUUCCAUAUUAUAAUCUGUGUUUAAUAAAUAGUCCUGAGCAUGGUUUUGUUCUUUUAUCCUUUUAAAACAGUUCCUUGGGUAAAUUCUUAAGAAUGGGUGUGGUGGAUUGUCCCAGCGUCUGGAUGUUUGGCCUCCUCACUGCAUCUGUACCCUUUGCCAUGUUACUUUCCAGCACUUUUCCUUGUGAGCAGGGUGCCACGUCCCAGCUUUGGGCUCCGGUGACUCGCCUUGGUCAACGGGAUGUUAGAAACGUGGUGCAAGCAGAGUCCCAAAGGUGUUUUUGCAAUUGAGUUGCUGCCGUCGCCAUGAGAAGGACAUUCCGAGCCAGCCUGCUGGUUCCGGGAGAGUGAAAGCAGAACGAGCCCAGCUGUCAACUGGGAACCAGGCAAACAAUACACUACUGGAAGAGAAUUAGCACAUCUGCCUAGAGUCCCUUAGUUAAUGAUUCUUCCUCCACCAAACUUUUCGUUAGAAUAUCAAAGGCAGUGGAUGGGGGAAACGGUGCAUUUCUGAGUCUACUAGAGGUGAUAAUUGUAAAUGACAUGGCCUCAAUAUUACAAGCUAUAGAUAGAGGUAAUUUUCAAAAUCAUUCCUUUAACUCCAGGUACUGAUUAUCUACUGCUAUAUAAUAAGCCACUCCAAAACAUACAACUUAAAAUAACAAUUUAUUAUUAUCUCUCAUGGUUUUGUG